AACGAACGCUGGCGGCAUGCCUAACACAUGCAAGUCGAACGAGACCUUCGGGUCUAGUGGCGCACGGGUGCGUAACGCGUGGGAACCUGCCCUUAGGUUCGGAAUAACUCCCCGAAAGGGGUGCUAAUACCGGAUAAUGUCUUCGGACCAAAGAUUUAUCGCCUUUGGAUGGGCCCGCGUUGGAUUAGCUAGUUGGUAGGGUAAAAGCCUACCAAGGCGACGAUCCAUAGCUCGUCUGAGAGGAUGAUCAGCCACACUGGGACUGAGACACGGCCCAGACUCCUACGGGAGGCAGCAGUGGGGAAUAUUGGACAAUGGGCGAAGGCCUGAUCCAGCAAUGCCGCGUGAGUGAUGAAGGCCUUAGGGUUGUAAAGCUCUUUUACCCGGGAUGAUAAUGACAGUACCGGGAGAAUAAGCUCCGGCUAACUCCGUG
This 433-nucleotide ribosomal RNA is filed under the name uncultured bacterium. RNAcentral's name for it is "partial 16S ribosomal RNA". It matches the Rfam family "Bacterial small subunit ribosomal RNA", at positions 29 to 507 of the family's 1533-position model. The record is from RNAcentral.